This 18906-nucleotide long non-coding RNA is filed under the name Triticum aestivum (bread wheat). RNAcentral's name for it is "long non-coding RNA (TAES_LNC024890)". The record is from RNAcentral. Lineage: Eukaryota; Viridiplantae; Streptophyta; Magnoliopsida; Poales; Poaceae.
AUUUGCAGCUUCGUGCGGUCAGCACAUAUGUAAUAGCCACUUCAAACACCAGACUGCUGUGUGUGUAUAGUAUAAUAAUGUGAACCUGCAAUAUAUUUACAUGAACCCUUGUGUGUGUUUUGACUUAUAAGUUCAACUACUGACCUGGAUCGUACUGCAUGUUGAGCUAACAACAUUUUUCUGCUCCAAAGUGGAGACUUUUAAGAUUAUUAAUUUUCACUACCUUCUGGCCUGCAACUCAAAGGAGAUUCACCUUAACUCUGUAAGAGCACACAGUAUCUGUUUCAUCUGAGCAAUAAAACCGGCACACCCCAAACUCCAAAGACCUAGACACAGAUAAAAAGUGCCCACAAGCUUCAUGACCCUAAGAGGAAAUAUCUUGAACGCAAUUUACAUAAUAAAUAGCAUGUGAUUCCAUGAAACUGACCUAGGAACAUAACAAAGAUGAACAAACAUUUAUUCUUCUUUUGAAGGCCAAUACACUCCCCUGAACUCAGACUCUGCAUGGAGUUCCAGUGGAAGGGAAAAACACGAAGGCUGCCUCUAAAAGACUCCACGCUUGUAGGGUCAAUAAGAAAGGAACCUGAUGGGUGGAUGCAGUGUGAAAUAUUGUGGAAGCUCUCAAUGCCCAUACACGAGCACCCGCAUGAUUUAUAUUGAUAUGAUUGUUUGGGUUACAAGUCAAGGUUGUUGGGAAACAACCGCAAGAGAUAUACAGGAGGUUUAAGAUAAAGAUAAGAAAGAUCUAAGCUAAUCUCUAGUUACAAUAACAGCCAAUACAUAUGGCGCAUAACCUCCUGAACAUAUAUUCUUAACACCCUCCCAUAAUCAGAACUUCACCAAGUUAAGAUUACGAUUAAAUUCUUCAAACGCCCUCGUGGGAAGUGCUUUAGUAAAACCAUCCGCAACUUGAUCCUUUGAGUGAACAAACCGUAUCUCUAGCUCUUUGCUUGCAACUCUUUCCCUCAUAAAAUGAUAAUCAAUUUCAAUAUGUUUGGUCCUUGCAUGAAAAACAGGGUUAGCUAAGAGAUACGUAGCACCAAGGUUAUCACACCAAAGACAAGGGGUUUGAGAAUUGUAUAUGCCAAGUUCCUUAAGCAUGGAUUUAACCCAUAUGAUCUCUGCCGUUGCAUUAGCCAAAGCUUUGUAUUCUGCUUCAGUACUUGACCUGGAUGCCGUGGCUUGCUUCUUUGCACACCAUGAGUCGUGGAAUUGUCACGGCAGAUGUCCUCAAGCUAGGACUUAGUCGUGGAGCCAUCGCCGCUAGGAAGCUUGAAGGGGUUAACGGGACACGGAACACGAGGGUUUAUACUGGUUCGGCCCCUUACGAUGAAGGUAAAAGCCUACGUCCAGUUGAUGUGGUAUUGAUUAGGGUUUCGAUGACCAGGGAGCUUAACUGCUAUGCCUGGCUCUCGAUGAGAUCUUUCUUGUCCCUAAACCGCUGCCGGGUCGUCCCUUUAUAUAGAGAGGUUGACGCCCAGCGGCUCUCAGAGUCCCAGCCGGCUCGGACUCUCAACUAUUCUUGCCUUACACUACAAGUCUCGCCAUACGGCGGUUUAUCACUACGGGCCUUAAGCCAUCCCCGGGUCUUAAGCCCAUCUUUGGCCCACCGUCUUCAGGCUUAGCGCCAGGCUUCAAGUGAUGACCCUUAUGAGUAACCCGGCCCCUUCUGGCGGGUGACUCUAAGGUUUAUAUCCUCAACAUUAGGCCCCAGAUUGAUUUGAGCCGGCUCAUGUCAAUCUUCAAUUCUUUCGACAGAAAAUCUCCGGCUUACAAUUGUGUGAAGGCCAUAACCCGGCGUGACGUCAUCCUCUGGACUCCGGGUAAUCCGCCGUGACGUCAUCUUCCAUUAAGUCCAUUUUUUACUCCACCAGAUCCGCAACGGAUCUUAUCUUUACUGCCAUCCCGAAAAUCGAGGCGCCUCUCGGUCGAGAUAACCGCGCCGUGGCCUCCUCGUUUCUCGCGCCCACUUAUGAGACUGGCCUUAUAAAUAGCCCGACCCUCGGGUCUUUCUCAUUCUCCCUCUUCUGUCGUCUCCUUCCUCUCACUGCUCCCGUGCUGCUCGAGCUCCGCCGCCGCCGCCGCCGCAACAGAGCUCCGCGUGCUCGUCAUCCUUGGCCGCUGCAUCACCCUGAACCGUCCAGAGAACCGCGGCGAACCCCUGCAUCCGUAAGUUCCUUCCUCCUCGUAGGAUAGAUCUGCGUUAAGCUCCUGCUGUUCUUCCCGUGUUCUUCGCCGUCGUUCGCGAGUUCUUGGUAGUUUUUAUUUUUACUGCCUUUCUUGAUCUCUAUCUGCAUAGGACGGCCGCGGCAGUGGUUUCACACCCAUUCCAAUGUUCAUAGAUCCCUUUCUACUGCACAGAAGUCCCAUUUGAACCUGCGAACUUUCUCCUGCUUCUGUUUUAGGUCUAGAAAUUUUCUUUUUCAGCCGACCAUUUUGAUCCAAAUUAUUUACUGCAAUGUGUGAAACCUAUUUUCACCACACUUAGUAAAAAACUGCACUCGUUGAGUCAUGGCGGUUUACAUUUCCGGUUUAAAGAAACCACGCGCCGUAGAACCUUCCGGCUCAAAGGAAGCCAUGCGCCGUAAAAUUUUCCGGCUCACUUACAACAAGGUUGUAGACGAUUUGAAUUACUCCCAAGCACACCAGCGGCUUAGAUAACCCGAUGCACUUAGAUAUAUGUCAUUAGGCCCCUCCAUAAGCCGCCACUUUAAACACUGAACUGUAAAUUUCCUCCGGCUUACAAUUAAACCGGACAUUUUACUUUUAUCAUAGGCGUCCGACUUUCACCAUGCCUCCCAAAGCUCCCAUCACAUGCAAUUGGAUGAGGUCCAACGUCACCGAUGAGACUUUAACAGAUUUCAUGAAGUCGGGUUACCUGCCUAAGAAGGACGUCAUGUCCUACCGUGCCCCCGACCCAUCAGAGGAGAGACCACAGCCAAGGGACGGGGAGGUGGUCAUUUUUGCGGAUCACAUGAGCCGGGGCUUCGCACCGCCCGGCUCAAAGUUCUUUAGAGACGUGCUGAAUUUCUUUGACCUGCGGCCACAAGACAUAGGACCCAAUUCUGUGUCCAAUAUAUGCAACUUCCAAGUGUUCUGCGAAGUCUACCUUGGAGAGGAGCCCAGCCUGCUGCUCUUCAGAGAGCUCUUCUACCUGAACCGUCAGAACGUGUGCGCCAACGGGCCAAGCUUGGAACUUGGCGGCAUCUCCAUUCAGCGACGGAGAGACUGCCUUUUCCCUUACGCCGAGCCGCCGAGUCACCCAAAGGAUUGGAACCAGACGUGGUUCUAUUGCCAAGACACGUCGCCGGCUGACGAGAGCCCGCUGCCCGGCUUUCGCCCUUCACGUCUGGAACCAACUCACCCUCUGUCUGACAAGUUAACCCAGGUGGAGCGCCAACCUCUGCUCCCCACCAUCAACAAGAUCAAGGCUCUCCUGGGCAAUGGUCUCAACGGAAUUGAUCUGGUCCGGGUCUGGAUCUCGUGGCGGGUGAUCCCCCUGAGCCGCCGCCCCGGCUUAAUGUGUGAAUACACAGGCCGGAAAGAUGACCCCCUGCGACACAGCCGCAACGAUCUUCCUGAAGACGUUGCUGAAGACAUGACCAAGGCUCUUUUAAAUGAGAGCUUGGCAGACUGCGGGAGGACCGGCUUAAGCCCCUUCUGCAAGACCAACCCGACCCCAGCGGUAGGCCGCUGAUCUGAACAUCUUAUUUUCUUCUGUAUAUAGCUUUCAUCCGAACCUUAAGAACUCGUCAUUGUAUUUUUCAGGCGGAUGACAAAUUCUGGAAGGUCAAAUACGACCAUGAGGCGGCCAAGAAGGCCAGGAAGGCGAAGAAAGCCGCUAAGAGAGCCGCUCCCCGCAAGAAGGGAAGUAGGCCUACUGCUUCAGAGCUGCUGCAACUAAGCGACAGCUCCGAGUCAGAGGUAACCCCUGAACCUGUAAGCUCUUGUUGUAUUUGUUGUUUAUUUUUGUCCACCUUAUCAAUACUGUUCAUCAACAGGAUGACACCGGCGCAAGUAACCCGGUGGUUGAAGAGGUAAUGUCACUUUCCUCCGACUCGGAGCCCUUGCCAAGGCUGAAAGUCCGAAGGGUAACCCGGAAAGUAAGAUUUUCACAUCCUUUAGCUUAUCAAGAUCCUCAAUUUCUUUUGAAGCGACAGACUCAUGAGAGCCGGCGGCACACCCGGACCAACAAGGACGCUGACCUCUCCUCCGGUUUACCUGACGCGUCGAGGAAACGCCGGACCGAGGUUAUCUCCCACUUGUACCCUUUUCAUCCUUUGGCGGGUGUUAUACGUCAACCGCUCAAUUCCUCCGAUUCAAACUAUCAGGAAACCUCACCCUCUUUCGGUGACUCGAUGCAAUCAAACCUGCCGGCCUUCAAGACCGUACCCGGGUAAUGAUAAUCAUCUCUUGUUGUGCGUAUCUUUACUCAUACUUUUGUACUAACCUUUUUGUCCUUUCAGUGCCCAGGCAAAGCUCAGCAAGCGGGCGAAGAAGAGCAAGCCGGUCGAAGAGCCGGACUUGCCUGAACCGGAGGUAGCAGCUCAAGAACCGCCAGUUGCCUCCACUCCCGAAGCCGCCGCUCCAACCAACAAGGCAACUGCAGAAGCUUCUGCUAACCCGGAGACCUCCAGCUCGGCUCAGCCAGUCAAUGACCCGGACGGAGUUUGUUGAGCCGGGGAGACCUACUGCACUGGCCAAGUGCUCCGCCAAGGAGGAGUUGCUACAGCACCGCCGGGUUAAUCUGGACCUCACCGACUACGCCAAUCUGAACAUCGGAGAGAUCGUCUCCGGCUAUGUCAACCAAGUGUACAAGAGCCGGGAUGUAGAGAUCGGCAUGGUGAACCAGAUUCAGCAGAAGUCUGAGGUACUACUCCUCUUUCUCCUUGCUUACUGCAUAGUUAUCUUGUUAUUCUUACCAUACUCUAGCCCCCAAGUCUACGACUUAUGAUAGAAUAUGUUGUAGACUUAAGUUCCGACUUACUCGCUUGAACCGGCAAUUUGUAAAUAGAAACGUUUGAUAUGCAUUAGCCCCCAAGUGCCAAGUGUCUUUGCUUGGAAAGUGCUUGGGACUUUAAAAUUGCAUAAUAACUGUUCAUCCUAUAACCCGGAAAUUAUGCAGGCUGCUUGCAAGAAGUUUGAAGCUGACAUCUCCGAUCUGAAGACCCGCCUGAGGACGCAAGAAACUGAGACCCGGAAGGCCAAUGCCAAAUUUGUGUCCAGUAUUGCUGCGCAAGAAAAGCUGAAGACGGACUUUGAUGCUGAACGGAAAGCUUGGGCCGAAGAAAAGGCUACUCUGGUGAACCGGGCCGAACAGGCGGAGAAGGCUCUGACAGAGAAGACCGCCGAACUCUCCGGCUUAAAGCGCCAAGUGUCCCAGAUGGUUGCCGCAAUCUUCGGUAAGUCAUUUCACCGGCUUUCAUCAAGUUUAUAAUCUUUAUAUCUCAUAACUCAUCCUUGUCGGCGGCUUAUCUUAUUCUGUUAAACAGGUCCCAGAAGCGCCAACCUCAACCAAAGUGUGGUAACCAAGUUGAAAGCUGUGUACACCCUGGUGGAGCAACUCUACACCGGGUCACAGCGUGCUUUGGCUGUGGUGGCCCUAUCCAAUGAGGUGCCGAAUCACCUGGCGGAAGUUCUUCGCCGGCUCGCCGUUCUUCCUCAACGUGUCCAAGAGCUGUGACGGGCCUCUGCAAGAGCCGGAGCCAUAGCUGCUCUGAGCCGGGCCAAGGCGUUCCUUCCAAAACUAGACCCGGCGGACAUCGCUCUGGGCUACCCUAGUUUGAAGGAAGACGGCACCCCCUUCGACCAAAGGGACUUUGCAGCCUACGUGAAGAUCGUACGCCCGGUGGCCACUCUGAUUGGCAAUGAUACGGAUCUGACUAAGUACUAGCCGGGUUACGAUUCAGAGAAUCAGAGGAUCCCCACUCCGCAUUAUGAAGCCAUCAGCUUAGUCCCGCCGACUCGGAAGCACACCUUUGCCCCGGAGAUUGACCCGGAUGGGUUAAUUGACGAGGAAGCUCAAUUUGAAGCUUUGAGCGGCAUUAACUGGAAGUCAUCAACUUUCCAGGUCUUGGGAACAGCCGGAGGAGCGGAGAGGGAUGAGCCAGAAACUUCAACCCAGCAAGCAUCGUAACUCUGCAGGCGGCUUAUUAAACAAUGCUUCACCCUUUUGGACUCGAUGAGUCUUGUAAUAGAGUAGGACCAACACUUUAACUUUGCCGUGCCAUCGUGCACGCGUUGAAUGCUGAAUUCCAUUGAAGUUGUCUCCUUUAUACUUCUCCGGGUCAUAAUUGAUCCUUCAUUUUCCUUAAGCUCAAAUAGUUGCCUUUAACUAUCCUGCCUAGAAGGACAAAUCACAAGUCUCUAGGCGGCUUACCGCACUGAGAAUCAUAGUUUUAGACAUAUAACCCGAAAUAUGAAUCAAAAAAGACUGGUCCUCAAUUAUGUCCUUGAUGUACCCGUAAUAACACACUUACCGGCCUGCAAGCACACUUCCGGCUUAUAUAACCCGGGUAAUAAGGUUGGUACCUCAAUUCCGGUUUACCAGUCUUAAUAACACCGAGUGUAUUCGACUAGUACUAUAAAUCAAAGUUAAGCCGGCAAAGUGAGACCCGCCAUGCACACUUGAAAGAAUCAGAAGAACUCGCUAUAAAUCAGAAAACUUAGGGGCUUCCGGUUCGAAUACGACCAGAGACCCGUCCCAAAGGGGUUAUGCUAGGAUUCGAAUGCGAUCAUAUAGCCCCCAGUGGGUGUGGCGAUGCCAAUCAAGAGGGUACCGACAGCUAUGUUCUCUUUGGUUCGAAUACGACCCAUGUUUGAACAGGAAGCCCCCAAAUGACCUUAAGAAUUGUUUAACGACGUUGAUUCGAAUACGAUCCACGUCGGUUCCCAAAGAGGUUAAACUAUGAUUCAAAUAUGAUCAAAGAAAACUCCCCAAUGAGCUCAGCACUUUGCCAAUCAAAUGGGUAUCGACAGCUAUGUUCUCUUUGGUUCGAAUACGACCUAUGUUUGAACAGGAAGCCCCCAAGUGACUAUAUUGUGUAUGGCUAGAUUCGAAUACGAUCAUAAGCCGGAUCCUCCUUCAAGUUAUCACAUGAUCUUGUAAUGAAAACAACACAUUCAUCUUUGGAGGAGGAAAGAGGACAGAGGCCCUGCUUUAUUGCUUAUCAGAAUAUAUACAUGGCUUAGAGAAAUAUGUACAUUAUGAGAGCCGGUGGCUCAAGUGUAAUAAGGCCGAAGCUGAGCUAUGUUCCACGGCCGACGGGUCUCUUCCUCCGACUUACGUGAAUCUUUGUGCUCCCGAACGUCAAUGAGGUAAUAUGACCCGUUGUGCAAAUUCUUGCUGACCACAAAGGGCCCUUCCCAAGGCGGGGAUAGCUUAUGCGCAUCUGUUUGAUCUUGGAUGAGCCGGAGCACCAGAUCGCCUUCCUGGAAGACCCGGGAUUUAACCCGGCGACUAUGAUAACGGCGCAGGUCCUGUUGGUAAAUCGCUGAGCGAGCUGCUGCCACAUCACGCUGUUCGUCCAACAAGUCAAGAGCAUCUUGGCGCGCCUGUUCAUUAUCCACCUCAACAUAAGCCGCCACUCGAGGCGAAUCAUGACGGAUGUCACUGGGGAGGACUGCUUCCGCUCCAUAAACCAUGAAGAAAGGUGUGAAACCUGUAGACCUGUUAGGAGUAGUGUUGAUGCUCCACAACACGGAGGGUAACUCCUCCACCCAACAACCCGGCGUCCGUUGUAAAGGGACCAAAAGCCGGGGUUUGAUGCCUUUCAGAAUCUCCUGAUUAGCCCUCUCAGCUUGACCAUUGGACUGAGGGUGAGCCACUGAUGAAACAUCAAGUCUAAUAUGCUCUCGUUGACAAAACUCCUCCAUGGCGCCCUUAGACAGAUUGGUACCAUUGUCAGUUAUAAUGCUGUGUGGAAAGCCGAAGCAAAAUAUCACCCUUUUCAUGAACUGAACUGCUGUGGCCGCAUCACACUUGCUAACUGGCUCCGCUUCAACCCACUUGGUAAAUUUGUCAACUGCCACCAAGAGGUGGGUCUUCUUAUCCUUGGACCUUUUAAAAGGCCCAACCAUAUCAAGCCCCCAGACCGCAAAGGGCCAAGUAAUUGGGAUCAUCCUCAGCUCCUGAGCUGGCACAUGAGCCCGUCGCGAGAACCUUUGGCAACCAUCACAUUUACUGACCAAGUCCUCCGCAUCAGCAUGAGCCGUCAGCCAAUAAAAACCAUGACGAAAAGCCUUGGCCACAAGAGACUUUGAGCUGGCGUGAUGGCCACAAUCCCCUUCAUGAAUCUCACGCAAGAUAUCUUGACCUUCCUCAGGGGAGACACAAUGCUGGAACGCUCCCGUAACACUGCGGCGAUGCAACUCACCAUUGAUAACAAUCAUUGACUUAGACCGCCGGGUUAUUUGCCUGGCCAAAGUUUCAUCCUCAGGCAAAUCUCCCCGGGUCAUGUAAGCCAGAUAGGGCAUUGUCCAGUCCGGUAUGAUGUGGAGAGCCGCCACCAGUCGUGCCUCCGGGUCAGGGACAGCCAAGUCUUCCUCUGUAGGCAACUUAACAGAAGGGUUAUGCAGGACGACCAGGAAAAUAUUAGGCGGCACCAGUUUUCGCUGAGAGCCCAGCCGGCUUAAAGCAUCAGCCGCCUCGUUCUUCCUGCGAUCGAUGUGCUCUACUUGGUAACCCUGAAAGUGCCCAGCAAUGGCAUCAACUUCGCGGCUAUAAGCCGCCAUGAGAGGGUCCUUGGAGUCCCACUUUCCUGAUACUUGUUGAGCCACCAAGUCUGAGUCGCCGAAGCACCUUACCCGGCUCAAGCUCAUCUCCUUAGCCAUCCGAAGACCGUGGAGCAAGGCCUCGUACUCAGCUGCGUUGUUGGUACAAGGAAACAUCAAUUGUAACACAUAAUGGAACUUAUCACCCUUAGGGGAAGCCAAUACGACUCCAGCCCCCGAGCCCUCCAACUGCCUGGACCCAUCAAAGUGAAUAGUCCAAUAUGUGUUAUCCGGCUUUUGUUCGGGCACUUGUAGCUCUGUCCAAUCAUUGAUGAAAUCCACCAAAGCCUGAGAUUUAACAGCAGUGCGUGGCACAUACUUCAGACCAUGAGGUCCGAGCUCUAUAGCCCACUUAGUCACUCUCCCUGUGGCCUCCCUGUUCUGAAUGAUAUCCCCAAGGGGGGCAGAACUGACCACAGUGAUGGGGUGACCCUGGAAAUAAUGCUUAAGCUUCCGGCUUGCCAUGAACACACCAUAAACAAGCUUCUACCAAUGCGGAUACCGCUGCUUGGACUCAAUGAGUACUUCGCCGACAUAAUAAACCGGCCGCUGAACCGGAUGCUCCUUACCCUCUUCCUUGCGCUCCACCACCACGGCCACACUGACGGCUCGUGCAUUAGCAGCCACAUACAGCAAUAAAGGCUCCUUGUCAACCGGAGCAGCAAGGACUGGGGGCUCGGCCAGCUGUUUCUUCAAAUCCUCAAAAGCAGUAUUAGCUGCAUCAUUCCAGACAAAGUCAUCAGUUUUCUUCAUCAACUGAUAUAAUGGCAUAGCCUUCUCCCCCAAACGGCUUAUAAAACGGCUUAAAGCAGCAAUGCGACCCGCCAGGCGCUGGACGUCGUUUAUACACGCCGGCUUAGCCAGGGAGGUGAUGGCCUUGAUCUUCUUCGGGUUAGCUUCAAUGCCUCUGUCAGAAACCAAGAAACCCAAGAGUUUGCCUGCAGGAACACCAAAAACACACUUGGCCGGGUUAAGCGUCAUCUUGUAGACCUGGAGAUUAUCAAAGGUUUCCCUCAGAUCAUCUAUCAGGGUUUCCUUCUUCCUGGAUUUAACCACAAUAUCAUCCACAUAAGCAUGAACAUUGCGCCCAAUCUGGUUAUGAAGACAGUUCUGCACACAACGCUGAUAAGUCGCCUGUGCACUCUUGAGUCCAAAGGGCAUGGACACAUAGCAGAAGGCUCCAAAGGGAGUGAUGAACGCCGUCUUCUCCUGGUCCUUAACUGCCAUUUUAAUCUGAUGAUAUCCGGAAUAAGCAUCCAAGAAACUUAAGCGCUCACAACCUGCCGUAGCAUCAAUAAUUUGAUCAAUACGGGGAAGGGCAAAAGGAUCAGCCGGACACGCCUUGUUUAAGUCCAUGUAGUCCACACACAUCCGCCAAGUGCCGUUCUUCUUGAGUACGAGCACCGGGUUAGCUAACCACUCUGGGUGAAAAACUUCAACAAUAAAUCCGGCCGCCAAGAGCCGGGCCACCUCUUCACCAAUAGCUUUCCGUCUUUCUUCAUUAAACCGCCGAAGGAAUUGCCUGACCGGCUUAAACUUCGGAUCAACAUUGAGAGUGUGCUCAGCGAGUUCUCUAGGUACACCUGGCAUGUCAGAAGGUUUCCAUGCAAAAAUGUCCCUAUUCUCACGGAUGAACUCGAUGAGCGCGCUUUCCUAUUUUGGAUCCAGAUUGGCACUGAUGCUAAACUGCUGGGAUGAAUUACCUGGAACGAAGUCAACAAGUUUAGUCUCCUCAGCCGACUUAAAUUUCAUUGCCGGCUCAUGCUCCGUAGUUGGCUUUUUCAGAGAGGUCAUAUCUGUUGGGUCAACGUUGUCUUUGUAGAAUUUUAACUCCUCUGUUGCACAAACAGAUUCUGCAUAAGCUGCAUCGCCUUCCUCACACUCCAAGGCUACCUUCCGACUGCCAUGAACCAUAAUGGUCCCAUUGAGACCCGGCAUCUUGAGCUGCAGAUAUACGUAACAUGGCCGUGCCAUGAACUUGGCGUAAGCCGGCCGCCCAAAUAUGGCAUGAUACGGGCUACUUAUCUUGACCACCUCAAAGGUCAAUUUUUCCACCCUGUAGUUGUGCUCGUCUCCAAAGGCCACGUCCAACUCGAUCUUGCCGACUGGAUAAGCCGACUUACCAGGUACCACACCAUGGAAAAUAGUGUUUAACUGGCUGAGGUUCUUAUCAAUCAAUCCCAUACGACGGAAAGUCUCAUAAUAGAGGAUGUUGAUGCUGCUGCCUCCAUCCAUGAGCACCUUAGUGAACUUAUAUCCUCCCACCUGAGGAGCCACUACCAAGGCCAAGUUACCCGGAUUAUCCACCCGGGGAGGGUGAUCCUCCCUACUCCAUACUAUAGGCUGCUCAGACCACCGUAAAUAUCGUGGAACCGCCGGCUCAACAGCAUUUAUAGCCCUCUUAUGAAGCUUCUGAUCUCGCUUACACAGACUGGUGGUAAAUACAUGAUACUGUCCACCGCUAAGCUGCUUUGGAUUGCUCUGAUAACCCCCCUGCUGCUGUUGAUGACCCUGGCCAGACUGUUGAUUAAAGCCCCCUUGACCGCUCUGAGGAUUGGAAUUUGAGCCGCCGCCCGGGCCAUGAAAGCCGCCGGCGCCUGAACCGCCGCCCGGGCCACUGUUGCCGUUAAAAGCGUUGGAAUUCUUAAAGGCCUUCAUGAUUACACAAUCCUUCCACAGAUGGGUAGCUGGCUUCUCUCUAGAGCCAUGCCUCGGACAGGGCUCAUUCAACAGCUGUUCCAGCGUCGGGCCUGACCCGCCGGCUCGGGGAGGGGGCCUCCCCUUGCGUCUCUGGCUACUGCCCUGUGAGCUGGCGUUGGCCACGAACUCUAGGCUGCCGUCGGCUUUACGCUUGCCACCUCCUUGGUUCCCCGGGUUAUGCUGAGGACCCUUGCCAUUGCCGUUCUUCUUUCUCUUCCAUGUCCUUUCGUCGUCCGAAGCGGGGUCCUUGGUACCAUCAGAAUCGGCGUACUUGACGAGAGCCGCCAUCAGCGUACCCAUAUCAUUGCAGUCGCGCUUAAGCCGCCCGAGUUUCAUCUUCAGGGGCAGAAAACGACAAUUUUGCUCCAACAUCAAGACUGCAGAGCCGGCAUCCAUCUUAUCCGAUGAAUGUAUGAUCUCUUUGACCCGGCGAACCCAAUGUGUCGUAGACUCACCCUCCUGCUGUAUACAGUUAGUCAAAUCCACUAUUGACAUAGACUGCCUACAGGUGUCUUUGAAGUUUUGUAUGAACCGGGCCUUCAGCUCAGCCCAAGAUCCAAUGGAAUUUGGCGGUGGCCCUUUCAACCAAGUGCGGGCAGUCCCAUCUAACAUCAUGGUGAAGUACUUGGCCAUUGCCACUUCACUGACUUCCAGCAGUUCCAUGGCCAUCUCGUAACUCUCGAUCCAGGCUACGGGUUGUAAGUCAGCCGUAUAAUUAGGCACCUUCCUAGGGCCUUUGAAGUCCUUGGGUAGACGCUCAUUGCGGAGAGCUGGCACUAAACAAGGGACACCUCCAGUCCUGGUAGGGAUACCCACGUCGACGGAAGUCGUCGGAUAAGCCGGGGGAGUCUGGUAAGCCAUCAACUGAGGCACCUGCUCCGCCUCUUGCCGCGCUCUGUCUUGGUCUGCUGCGUGAAAGGCUCUGUUAUGAGCCGGGCCAUGGCCAGGGGGCGGGUCAUGGCGCCGGACAUUACUUGAGCCGGUCGCUGAGACCAUGUGUCUGCUAUAACUCGGGCUCCGGCCUGGGCGAGGGGUCGAGUGGAUCCUGUCCCGGCUGUAAGAGUACGCCUCUUGCUGCGCCAGUGCUGUCUGAAGGAGUUCCCUGACCCGGCGGGUUUCAAUAGCCGUCGGAGAGUCGCCGUCAAUUGGGAGGGCCGCCAGCCGUGCUGCUGCGGCGACCAUGUUCUCCAGCGGGUUAGCAUAAUGACCCGGUGGUAUUGGCACGUACUGAGGCGGGGCAGGGUUCACCCGGGGAGGCCCCAUCACUUGUGGUUGAACAGGGGUCCCCGACACGGGCACUAUGAUCCCUGGCGGGUUACUAGACCCUGCACCUGGCGUGUUGAAGAGGUUUCGAGGAUCGUAAACCGGAGGGAGUCGAGAUUGGGCUUUUUGAUGCCUCCUUCUCAUGACCUCAUUGGACGCGUUUUGAUCCAUCGUGAGCCGGAAGGACUGCGCCUGAAUCAACUGGGUUUGGGCAUCGAGAGCCGCCCUCUCCGCAGCCAUCCUGAUCCGUUCCGCUGCCAGAUCCUCUUUGGCUUUCACUAGAUCUAACUUUAACUGCGCCACCUCCGCGUCAUGCUGAGCUUGAUCCGCCGAGUCAACCGCGGCGGUCAACAGGGCCGUCAUCUUGUCCGUGAGAUCCAUCAGCACCUGAGCCGGCGAGGGCACCGAGUUUCCUGCCCCAGCAGCAGGGUGCUGAACAGGCUGCGCACUGGCCAUGAAGAUUCCGACCCGGCUCGGCGGCUCAAACGGGUCCGGAAUACUGUCACCAUCGGAACAACCCAUUAGCCUGCCAUCUUGAAGCUGAUACAACGAGUUCGACUCAUCUGUGGAUGAUUCGCCGUCAGAGCCGGCGGUUGUCUCAUCACCAGAUCCAGAUCCACCAGAGAGCCCUCCAUGGACACAUUCCACGAAAGCAUGCUUCAAAGCAGGCAGGGCCCGGGCGGGUCGUGCGCGAUGAGCCGUCUCGAUGAGCUCGGCCCAGAGAUCCGGCUCAGGGCCCGGCUCACCAAUCUUGCCAAUGAAAACAUGAAUUCCGCCGAAGGGGACCCGGUAUCCGUACUCAAUUGAGCCGGCGUCGGGGCCCCAGCUUGCAUCGUCGAUGUAGAGCUUGCCGCGACGACUCUUGGUCAUCCGGCCCACAGCGUAUCCCUUGAGCCCUUCGAAGCUGCCCUUCAAGAACUCAAAUCCACCGUGCGCUGGCCCCACGGUGGGCGCCAACUGUCGUGGAAUUGUCACGGCAGAUGUCCUCAAGCUAGGACUUAGUCGUGGAGCCAUCGCCGCUAGGAAGCUUGAAGGGGUUAACGGGACAAGGAACACGAGGGUUUAUACUGGUUCGGCCCCUUACGAUGAAGGUAAAAUCCUACGUCCAGUUGAUGUGGUAUUGAUUAGGGUUUCGAUGACCAGGGAGCUUAACUGCUAUGCCUAGCUCUCGAUGAGAUCUUUCUUGUCCCUAAACCGCUGCCGGGUCGUCCCUUUAUAUAGAGAGGUUGACGCCCAGCGGCUCUCAGAGUCCCGGCCGGCUCAUAAAAGUGUCCGGCUUGGACUCUCAACUAUUCUUGCCUUACACUACAAGUCUCGCCAUACGGCGGUUUAUCACUACGGGCCUUAAGCCAUCCCCGGGUCUUAAGCCCAUCUUUGGCCCACCGUCUUCAGGCUUAGUGCCAGGCUUCAAGUGAUGACCCUUAUGAGUAACCUGGCCCCUUCUGGCGGGUGACUCUAAGGUUUAUAUCCUCAACACCAUGAGAUGAGAUUGGGUCCAAGGAAUAUAGCAAAACCACCUGUAGACCUUCUAUCAUCCGGACAAUCAGCCCAGUCAGAAUCAGAAAAAGCACUCACAAGUGUGGAUGAUGACUUGUUAAAAGUUAAGCCAAGAUUUAAAGUACUCUUCACAUAUCUAAGUAUGCAUUUGACAGCUGUCCAGUGUGAUGUUGUGGGUGCAUGAAGAAAUUGACAAACUUUGUUCACAGCAAAGGAAAUAUCUGGUCUAGUCAAAGUCAAGUACUGAAGUGCACCAACCAUACUUCUGUACCUUGUGCUAUCCUCUUGAUCCAAGAGUUCUCCUUCUGCAAGAGACAACUUUUCUGAACAGGAUAGUGGAGUUGGCGAUGGUUUACAAUUCUGCAGGCCAACUCUGCUCAAAAGAUCAGUUGCAUAUUUUUCCUGUGACAAGUGAAGUCCUCCUUCUUUGUUUCUUUUAACUUCUAUACCAAGAAAAUAAUGCAAAUCUCCUAAAUCUUUAAGAGCAAACUCUGAAUUCAAAUCCUUCAACAAGGCUGUCACGGCUUCAUUUGAUGAGCUUGUAACAAUGAUAUCAUCAACAUAGAUAAGCACAAAAACAGAUGUACGUGACUUAUUAUAGAUGAACAGUGAUGUAUCAGGCCUUGAAGGAACAAACCCAAGUGCUAGCAACUUUGAGCUCAAGCGUGAGUACCAAGCCCUGGGAGCCUGUUUCAGUCCAUACAGAGAUCUAUCCAGCCUGCAUACAUGAAAGGGUUUGUCUUUGUCCUCAAAACCAGGAGGUUGUUUCAUGUAAACUUCCUCUUUCAGAACACCAUGCAGAAACGCGUUCUACACAUCUAGCUGUCUAAGACUCCACCUCUGGAUACGGCAAUAGACAAAACAAGACGUAUAGUGGCAGCUUUAACAACAGGACUGAAUGUAUCUUCAUAGUCUAUACCAUACCUUUGCUUAAACCCCUUUGCAACUAGUCUGGCCUUGUAUCUAUCUAUAGUACCAUCUGACUUUUUCUUUAUUCUGAACACCCAUUUGCAAUCAAUCAAGUUUUUACCUUGCUGUGAAGGAACGAGGUGCCAUGUUUUAUUUUUCUGAAGCGCUUGAAAUUCUUCUUCCAUAGCCUUCAUCCACUCUGCAUCCUUGCAUGCUUCCUGAAAUGUACUAGGCUCUCCUGUAGAACAUGUUAAACCAUACUUAACUUUAUAAUUAACUGGCUGAAUGACACCUGCUCAUAGUCUGGUGUAUGGCUAUCUUUGUACGGGCUGGGCCACCACACCAGAACCAGGCGCAGAGGAUCCGGGAGAGACAGCUGUAGGGGAUCCCAUCAAUCCUGGCGCAGAUUCGCUGCUGUUAUCUGCGACCGGAUCUUCUGUGACCAUGCUGCCACGCGGUGAACAAGAGAGCGGCGCAGAAGAUCCCGUGGCUCCGGACUCCACGCCAGAUCCAUGUGCCUCCGUAUCAGGAUGGAGAUCAGCGCCAACGCCUGAUUGGUGGUCAGCGCGCCUGAUGUAGACGCGCAGUGUCGCGCCGAACCGGUUGGGUGCGGAUUGGCUAGGCGCACGUGCCGGAGACCCCUGCCGAGCCCUCGUGGCCGAGGCUGAUGCUGCUGGGUCUGCCGCCCCUGAUCCCGAGGCUGAUGUUGUCGGAUCUGACACGGCCGCGGAUCCCGACGCAGAUUUGGCAGCGUUGUCACGUAGCGGACACAUAAAAUGGAGUCCGUUCAGGACGUUUUCUGCACUCCUUUGCAUUGGAUUUGUUUCUGCUCCUCCCAGAUGAGAUCCUGCAGCAUCACAAGCCUCAUUUGCAUGGUUAGAAGCAUUAGUCAUAUGAUCAAUACAAUUGUCAUCCCCGUGCUGAGAACCGGUUAAAUGAGAAGGCAAAAGGAGAAUUUCUUUGGAAGCAAAGCACCGGCAUUAGGAUGAAGAUUUGCAAAAGGAAACACGGUCUCAUCAAAGACAACAUCACGGGAAAUAUAGACACGACCAGUAGAGACAUCUAGACAUUUAACUCCUUUGUGUUUGGCACUAUAACCAAGAAACACACAUUGUUUGGAUCUGAACAUAAGUUUGCGGUUGUUAUAGGGACGUAAAUUGGGCUAACAAGCGCAGCCAAACACACGAAGAGAGGUAUAAUCUGGUCUAGUAUUAAGCAGUCGGUGCAUGGGUGUAUCAUUUUGGAUGACUCGGCUAGGAAGCAUAUUGAUGAGAUGGACCGCGGUGAGGAAGGCCUCAUCCCAAAACUUGAGGGGCAUGGAAGCACCGGCAAGUAAGGCUAGCCCAACCUCAACUACAUGCCGGUGCUUGCGUUCAGCGGAGCCGUUUUGUUGGUGGGCGUGGGGGCAGGACACGUGAUGUGAGAUGCCCAAGGUUUGGAAAAACUAAUCUAGUUUCUCGUACUCGCCGCCCCAAUCGGAUUGGACGGCAAGGAUUUUGCUAUCAAAUUGACGUUCAACAAGCGCUUGAAAAUGUUGGAAGACUUGGAAAACUUCAGAGCGUUUUUUAAGAAGAUAGAUCCAAGUAUACUUACUAAAAUCGUCUAUGAAACUAACAUAGUAAGUAUGGCGACCAACAGACAUAGGGGCAGGACCCCACACAUCAGAGAAAACAAGUUGCAAAGGUCUAGUAGAAAUACUAGUUGAAACUGGAUAGGGCAACUAAUGCGACUUUGCUUUUUGACAGGAAUCACAUAUAGUUUCAAAAUUAUGCUCACCAACACAUGGGAGUUUAUUAUUUCUAAGCACUUGUUGAACAACGAUAAAAGAUGGAUGUCCUAAUCUUGCAUGCCACCGCUCGGGAGAGAGUCUUAUGACACCACAGACUUGUUUAUUGAAGCUUCUAAAUUGGGGAAUCAAUGGAUACAGCCCAUGCACGCAUCUACCUCGAUAGAGAAUGUUCCUCGUGACCUGAUCUCGGAUCAAAAAGAAAUAAGGAUGAAAUUCAAGAAACACGUUGUUAUCAAUGGCAAUACGGUGAACAGAAAGAAGAUUUUUGGCUGUUUCUGGAACAUGCAAGAUAUUUCUAAGAUGAAUAUUGCCAUGAGGGGUUUUGACAAUUGCAUGACCAAUAUGAUCAAUGUUCAUACCUUCACCGUUGGCAUUGUGGACUUGAUCAUGGCCAUGAUACUUCUCGCUCAUUGUCACCUUCUCAAGCUCGUUGGUGAUGUGAUUUGUGGCACCGGAGUCGACAUACCAGUUGGUGUCAACCCCAUAUGAUGUGUCUGCAGCCGCUGCAACCUUUUUUCUGGAGUUGUUCUCAGCAUAACGCCAAUCACAGUCCUGUGCAAUAUGAUUAUUUUUCUUGCAAAUCUGACAUUUAUUUUCAUACUCCUCAUAACCUUGGAAGGGGCGCCCCCUAUUGUUGUUGUAGUAGGGACGCCUGUUAUUGCCGCCGCCGUUCUGGUAGUGGUCACUGCCACCACCGCCGCCGCUGGAGUUGUUGGUGUUGUAGUGGCCGCUGCCACCACCGUUGUUGGAGUUGUUGUAGGAUCUGUUGUUGUUGUUGUAGGAGCCGCCGCCGCUGCUGCCACCGCCGCGGGAGCCACCGCCACCACCACCCCUGUUAGGGUUGCGGUAGCCUUGAUAGCCUCUGGAGUUGUUGCCGCGACCUCAAGCUGCAACAUUGGCGGAGGAUUUGAAGGCACCUGCCCCUGUCCCGUGGAACAUCUCAACGCGUUGGUCAAAAUUUGCAACCAUGCCGAAGAGGUCAUCCACCGAGAGGGGUUCGGUGCGUACGUCCAGCGCUGAGAUCAGCGGCUGAUAGUCCAUGUCGAGCCCUGCAAUGAUAAAGGAAAGAAGUUCUCCUUCUCCGAUGGGUUUCCCAGCCGCAGCUAGUUCAUCAGAGAGGGCCCUCAUCUGACCAAAAUAGGUUGUGGCACUCUGUGAACCUUUAUGAGCAUUGGAUAGGGCUAUGCGGCAGUUGUUUACACGGGAGAGAGAUUGUGCGGUGAACAUCUUUGCUAGGGCUGACCAUAUGGCGUGGGAAGUUUCUAAAGAAGCAACCUGGAUGAGUACCUCCUUUGAGAGAUUUCGAAGGAGAAAGGCUACAAUCUGCUGAUCUUGAAUCAGCCAUGGGUUAUAGGCAGGGUUUGGAACAAUCUGCUCGUUUCCUUCUGAGUUUUUGGUGAUGAUUGUUUUGGCUGGCUCGGGUGUGGUUUGAUCUAGGUACCCAUAUAGUCCGGCACCCAUGAUUUGGGAGCGAACUUGGGCUUUCCAUAGGAUGUAGUUGGUUCUUGUGAGAGGCUCGGAUGUGGUACUGGACAGGCCUAUGGAUGGAACUUGGGUGGAGGAAGACAUGGUUUGGUUUGGUGGAGAGGAUGAUCAGGAGAUGCGGCAGGGAGGAAGAUAGAUGCUAGAUGUGGCGGAAGAGGGAGGCUCUGAUUACCAUGUGAAAUAUUGUGGAAGCGUCUCAAUGCCCAUACACGAGCACCCGCAUGAUUUAUAUUGAUAUGAUUGUUUGGGUUACAAGUCAAGGUUGUUGGGAAACAACCGCAAGAGAUAUACAGGAGGUUUAAGAUAGAGAUAAGAAAGAUCUAAACUAAUCUCUAGUUACAAUAACAGCCAAUACAUAUGGCGCAUAACCUCCUGAACAUAUAUUCUUAACAUGCAGAACCUGAAUGGCUUUUUUCAGCUGCACAACACACAACAGUAUGACCCAAGAGAGGCAUGAGGUAGCGCACCUUUGCGGCCGAAAAUGAUAGAUG